RNAcentral lists this small nuclear RNA (19 nucleotides) under Arabidopsis thaliana (thale cress). RNAcentral's name for it is "snRNA_05592". The record is from RNAcentral. Lineage: Eukaryota; Viridiplantae; Streptophyta; Magnoliopsida; Brassicales; Brassicaceae.
AAGCCAUCCAAAGAGGAUU